UGAGAGGAUGAUCAGCCACACUGGAACUGCGACACGGUCCAGACUCCUACGGGAGGCAGCAGUGGGGAAUAUUGGACAAUGGGGGAAACCCUGAUCCAGCAAUGCCGCGUGGGUGAUGAAGGCCUUCGGGUUGUAAAGCCCUUUCGGCGGGGACGAUGAUGACGGUACCCGCAGAAGAAGCCCCGGCUAACUUCGUGCCAGCAGCCGCGGUAAUAUGAAGGGGGCUAGCAUUGUUCGGAAUUACUGGGCGUAAAGGGCGCGUAGGCGGCCUUGCGCGUCGUGCGUGAAAGGCCUGGGCUCGACCCAGGAAUGGCGCUCGAUACGGCAUGGCUAGAGUGCAGGAGAGGAUGGUGGAAUUCCCAGUGUAGAGGUGAAAUUCGUAGAUAUUGGGAAGAACACCGGUGGCGAAGGCGGCCAUCUGGACUGCAACUGACGCUGAGGCGCGAAAGCGUGGGGAGCAAACAGGAUUAGAUACCCUGGUAGUCCACGCUGUAAACGAUGUGCGCUAGACGUUGGUGGACCUAGUUCGCCAGCGUCGAAGCUAACGCAUUAAGCGCACCGCCUGGGGAGUACGGCCGCAAGGUUAAAACUCAAAGGAAUUGACGGAAUCGA
This 612-nucleotide ribosomal RNA is filed under the name uncultured bacterium. RNAcentral describes it as "bacterial SSU rRNA". It matches the Rfam family "Bacterial small subunit ribosomal RNA", at positions 293 to 922 of the family's 1533-position model. The record is from RNAcentral.